AUGCGGCAGCAGCGGGGCGUCGGCAGGGGCGGGGGCCGGCGGGAUCCCGGGCUGCUGACCAGGGUGGUGGACAAGGUCUUCCGCUUCGUCCGCCUCGCCGAGUUCGAGAUCCUCUUCGUCCUCUUCUUCUUCAUCGCCUUCAUCCUCUUCAAGGAUCUCAUGUCUCGACCAGACUACAACCAGAUCUUUGUCAAGAAGCCUGAUCAAGAUGACCGCUGGCCUUAG
RNAcentral lists this ribosomal RNA (225 nucleotides) under Triticum aestivum (bread wheat). RNAcentral's name for it is "partial small subunit ribosomal RNA". The record is from RNAcentral. Lineage: Eukaryota; Viridiplantae; Streptophyta; Magnoliopsida; Poales; Poaceae.